CACCACCACCCACCACGAGCUACUGACCGCUACCGCUGCUGGGCACCCUCUUUGCGAGGAACCUAGUGAGAGGAGGCGUGCAACAGGUGAAAAACAGAGGGUGCUCGAGAGGAGGGUACCGCGAUAAAGAAGAGCGGAGGGGGCGCCUAGGGGAGCGGGGUAAGGAGGGGGAGAGCUCGAGGAGAAGGGGCUUCGGAGUAGGAGGGCCGGUGGCACUGUGGAGCACCACCUCAAGCUGGCACGUGGUGGCUGGCUGCGGCCCCGCCGGUGCAUACCCGGGACCCAGCGGGCUAGAUCGGGGCCCCCCGGGCCUAGCCGUCUUCCGCCGCGAAGGCCGCUCUCCACCAGUAAAAGAAGCACUGGGCGUACAGCUAGAAGAGUAGACCACACACGGGCGGCCGUCUAACCCACCGGACAACGAGCCAGUCUAUUUAACAAACUAGUAAAACACAAGUAGUUUACAGUGUUAUGUUGUUCUCUAAGUUCCCUUUGUUCUAUGUACGUACCCGAUAGACUACACAUGGUUCGACUACACAUGUCUAUUUAAGAAAAAGGUUAUAGGAGUGUCUUCUGUCGUUUUUUCGAGAUAGAUACGGAAAACCCUUGAAGAUACGGAUGACUUAUAGGAGCGCUCUGACUGCCUGUAUGACUGACUUAAGUCGAGAUAAAGUCCGGUUAGCCAUCCCGCGAAUCAGUUCCCGACCGGUAUCCGAUUUACGUAUACAACCAGAUGAUACUACUACGCGGGUACCAUUUGACGAAGUGUAGAAAACGAAUACAUCUUACAACACAAACACAGUCGGCUUUGACUACGUUUUGGUACACACACGAAGCACAGACAUCAGUUGGCUUUAAUCGAGACAGCACGGUGAUCACGUUACGUUAACAAUUAGAUAUGGCUGAACACCUUCACAGUGUGGUCUUAAGGUCCUUGUCUAUUUCAAUGACACGGGAAUCGAAAUCAUUGAGUUAGAGAACUCGAAUUAAACGGCCCAAACAAAUACUCGUCUAAACCAAGGGAAAGAACGUUGACCUGGAUGGAUCAACGUAAGUUAAAUAUAGUACUGUUUUAACGAAUAUAUGCAUGGUUAUUUAUUUAGUAGCAAACUAGUAUAUUAUACAAUAUAUACGGUGGGUUUUUACGAUAUACGGCCUUCACGGUGGCGUUCGUAGGUUUUGAUGUACAAGACCAUCAUCACGAUUAUUUUUGCUUCUCGAUUCUUUUUCUUAUACUUUGUAUAGAAUGUUAUCAUACCAAACAAAAUUUUGGUUGAGAGCUCUUCGAUUUUAAGUCCGUUCGUACUUUUUUGACCGAUAGUUAACCAAAAAUAGGUUUUAAACCAUUACGGCGUUCUUUAUGUACCUUGUCGUUGUCUAUUUUCUAAGGAAGGAAGUCUUCGGCUAGCAAAACAGUUCUUGAUUUAACGUUUAUGUUUUCGCGCAUCAGUCAAAGAUGGUCGUAAAAAGUACAACCCUUCUAUAGUAUAAAAAAAGAGAAAAUCUUCUUCGUCUGUACGUGCUGUUUAAAGUCACGAAUGAUUUAGGCCCUCACACGAACCCAUCUUUUAUGUUGUCCGAAGGUUAUAAAAAUCCUAUCUUCGUUACCCCUUACGUGUUUGAACGUGACACUAUAUAAGGGGUUCUUUUCAAACUAAAACUUGGUGUCAGAAUAAGAGUUUCGGUUGGGUACUACUUCGCGAAAAACUCCCUUUCAUGACUUAAAGUGACCAUACGAACUAACCAGGUGUGCCCUUUUUAAUGUGUUUGUCGUGACUUCACCUACCUAAAAGGUACGUUAGAGUCUGUACUUGGUGUACUUUCAUAUAAAUUUGGCCCAUUGUAACAGUCGUACAUUCGAUGUUUAGAAAUAGAUCUGCCUCUACUUGGCCUGUUGGUCGUGUGACUUGAACUAGGUUC
RNAcentral lists this ribosomal RNA (1917 nucleotides) under Triticum aestivum (bread wheat). RNAcentral's name for it is "partial small subunit ribosomal RNA". The record is from RNAcentral. Lineage: Eukaryota; Viridiplantae; Streptophyta; Magnoliopsida; Poales; Poaceae.